Molecule: long non-coding RNA, 718 nt
Organism: Ochotona curzoniae (black-lipped pika)
Lineage: Eukaryota; Metazoa; Chordata; Mammalia; Lagomorpha; Ochotonidae
Exons: 3
Source: RefSeq, a predicted model, not a curated record
GAUUGGUUGGCGGACGCGGCGGCUCGGCUGUUGCUGGGCGGCGCCUGGCCGCGGAGCGCCGACGUUGCUAAGUGACGGGGCGCGCAGGCGCCGCGAAGGCGCUCCUUCCGGAAAGAGGGGGCGGGUUCCGGCUGAGGGUGAGGGUGGAGGAGGGGGUCUUUUCGCGCCUUUCUUCAGAGCUGGGGUUUCUUUUCUUUGAAAUCCCGCCUUUUUGGAUGUUAGGGGAGAAAGCGCGGGCUCCGUAGCGAGGGUGGAGGUGCCCGGGAACGGGAGUGGCAUCAGCCGUCUCUCCGCUGGUGCCUUCCUUGCCCCAGGCCAGGGCGCUUUAGCCAUCACAGGACAGUGGAUUAAGCAUCUCUGCUACGCUGCCUGUCCCUCUGUGUGUUCACAGUACAUACUUGUUCAUAUCCUGAGCUGCAGCCUCCUGCCGUUCCCAGGAGAAGAAUCUAUAGAAAAACCUGUGCACAGAUGUCCAUGUAAAAAAACAGCUGUAUCCAUCAGGGCCACAAGUUGGAAACCGGCAAAGAAACUUGGCUAUAUUCAUCAACCAAAUAUCACAGCAGUAAAACAGCUGCAGCACAACAACAGGAGUUCUCCUCGUGACCGGAGGAUGUCAUCUCUAACAACAUUCUUGAUGUUUCUGAGUGUCAUUCGAGAACAGACAAAACAGGGCCUGGCGCAGUAGCCUAGCAGCUAAAAUCCUUGCCUUGCCUGUAUC